ACAGUGGAUACACCAGCUCUCAACUUAGACCAGACAACAUAGCUACAAAGACUUUUAGAUGAGGAUUAUUUUGAAUUUACCAUCUUAACGGAGCACAGGUCUUGUGCUGGAAGAUACAGCUAUUCCAUCAGUCGACAUCCCACUGAGAGCGUACAUUGCCACAUCACAAAGGCCACGGUGUGUAAAGCUGUCAGAAUGGCGACCCUUGCCCUCAAGCAGCUGCUGCUCACAAUGGUGGUGUUCCCUGGAUACAAACCUCUUAGGAACAUAAAAAAAGGAAUUCUACAGGAUUGCAGGAGGGACUGUGAGACUAUCUGAGAGAAGGUGAGCAGGUCGAUGCUCCUUCCAAUAACAUUGCUGUAAAAUGGACGGCCAUUUAGAAGAGCGCUGUGGAUAGACCAUGCAGAGACGGGCCACCACCUCUUCUUUGACCUGAUUGAGAUACCUGUAGGUUGUCAAGGUCUACACCACCCAUGUACUCACUAUUGGCUGAUGCAUUUUGGUUGUUGGAUGUUGUCAAAGGCACAUUGAUGUCUGUACCAUCUCUUGACAUAGGUUGACAAUGGUAUUGUCUUUCCAACAAAGGUUCCCCUGGGUACCUCCAGUGGUUUGAAUGGGACAUCAAACAGGUGGUUCUGCCGAAUGGUUCCAGGCCUCCCAUAUCCUAUUUUUUUCAUUUCAUCCAUGAGGUUGAUGAGUGGUAAAGAGGUUGUCAUAGAAGAACUUGGAACCUUGAGGCACCUGAGCUUGCUCUACCACAUAUAUGAUAAUGCUGGGUUGCUGACCCAAGCCUCUCUCUGGGGGGAGAGUGUGCAGCUCCAAGUAGUACGUGUAUUCAUUGGAUCAGGUGACGCUCCAUACCUUGUAACCAAAGCGAUUGGUUUCCCUUUGAUUAUUGGUUUACAUCCAUCUCGGCCAUAGUACGGUAUGGUGUUCUCAUCCACUGACAGCCAUUCCUGUAAUGGCAUAAUUUUGCAUGAGUGAUUAAGCUCAUUGAAGA
Doryrhamphus excisus (bluestripe pipefish) is the source of this 1000-nucleotide non-coding RNA. NCBI's taxonomy places the organism in Eukaryota, Metazoa, Chordata, Actinopteri, Syngnathiformes, Syngnathidae. The record is from RefSeq and is a predicted model, not a curated record.